This 4173-nucleotide unclassified non-coding RNA is filed under the name Amphibalanus amphitrite. RNAcentral describes it as "ankyrin-1-like, transcript variant X2". Lineage: Eukaryota; Metazoa; Arthropoda; Thecostraca; Balanomorpha; Balanidae. The record is from RNAcentral.
UUCAACUGAGAACUCGAGACGUCGAUGGCGAACAAUUGAUAAUGAAUUGCAGUGUUUCCAUGAUUUUCUGCUCCGUGGGUUUGUCGCAAGCUUUUUGCGAUGGGAAUGUCUUGUGUAGAAUUUAAGUAUUUUCAUCUGAGUGCUCAUUAAGCACUGCUUCAGUCUUUGGACGAACGGGAGCGGUCGACAGCCGACUGCCACCAUGGGCAAUCAGCUGUCGAGCUUCUUUCAGUCGGGCAGCGCGCUGCUCAACUCAAACCACCGCCAACUGAGCGAGCAGACCACCAAGAAUGUCCGCUUCUUGUUCGACACGCUGCGGGCUAACCCGCGCAACAUGGUGCAUCGGCUCCAGCCGGUCCUCUCGCAGAUCAACAAGGGAGAGAACAUUCUUCAGGUGCACAACGAGGAGGGCUACAACCUGCUGCAGAAGUGUGUCGGCAUGAACAACCUGGAUAUGGUGCGCUGGAUCCUGAGCCGAAACCUGGACGUCAACCGCGGAGUGUGCUCGCUACCACUUCACAUCGCCUGCCUCAAAGGGUACGAGGACUGUGUGGAGAUGCUUCUGAAGCACGGCGCGCGCAUCGACGUGGAGGCGCGCAUGUGCUGGCCGGGCCCGCACAACCAGAACUGCGAGCAGCGCGGCAACUACUGCAGUCCGUUUGAGCCGGGCGGCGCCGACCAGCGCAGCAGCGACCGGCUCCAGUCGGCCGUCUACUACGCCAUUGACGGCGAUCAGGUGGAGAUUCUCGAGCUGCUGACCCAGCAGGGCGAGGACCACUGGUUGCCCUGGCACCAGAAGCGGCCUCUGCUACACAUUGCCUGCGAACGGGGCGCCUGGAACUGCGUGCAGUACCUGGUAUCAGAGAGGUCGGACGAGAUAAAUCAGUGCUACGACGAGUACUACCCCAUCCACCAGGCGGCGUUACAUCACGUCCAGUUUCUGGAGAGGCUGAUUGCGUGCGGUGCAGACACGCUAGUACGGACCUCCACACAGCAGAUGACGCUACUGCACGUGGUGUUUCUGUUGGGGAAGAAGACUGUGAGUGACACGCUUUGUACGGCCAAACUGCUGCUCGACCACGGCCUGCGGGAGUUGAUAAACGAGCCGGACUCGCUGGGGAACACGCCUCUGCACGCACUCAUCGCUAGGUACGCGCUGGAGGAGGCGCGCUACGGGUACGACCACGAGCCGCCACCGUGGACUAAGUGGGAUACGCUUCACCUAGUGCGCUACCUCCUCCAGAACGGCGCCGCGCCGAGCAUCAACCAGCAGGGCAACAGCGCGCUGGCCUGUGUGCUGCGGCACGUCAGGGACUGGGAGUUCAGGUACGAGCUGUUGGACAUGCUGCUGCAGAACAGCGGCAACCCCAACAUCGUGGGCCGUGACGGCUCUGUGCCGCUGAUGGUCUGCCUGGUGCCGCUCAUCAACAAGGACCCGCUGCACCACUUCAACCACACCAUGAAGGUGUUCUACCUCAACUGCGUGCGCAUCCUCUGCAAGCACGGCGCCAACCCCAACUGCUCGUCGCGCAGCAACCUGACGCCGCUGCACGUGCUCAUGUUCACUGCCUCGGAGAACAUCGCGCUCAGCCGAGAGGCAGAGAAGGCGCAGGCGUUCGACUUCAUUCGGCAGCUGCUGGUGAUUCUGCUCCAGCACGGACUCGAUCCGAACGUGCGCUUCAGUCAGCGGUCGCACCACAUCCUACUGUCGGUCAUCGACAUGGUGUCGUCGGCACGCAGCGCCGCCGACCUGGGGCACGUGCGUGACCUGACGCUGACACUGCUCCAGUACGGCGCCGACCCGAACGUCGCCAUUAGCACGAGCAACGAGCCGAAAAUCUGCCACUCACAGUCGUCCGUGUUCCUGAAGCGGUCGUCACACCAGGUGUUGUAUUUUUACAUCCAGCGGCUGAUCCGGCGCGAGGAGCUGCUCCUAGACCCGGAGAGGCGUUUUGAGCGCAUCAUACGGCUGUACUACAUGUGUAUGGACCACAGCGUGCUGUACAGUUGUCUGCGGCUGCUGCACACGCAGGCCACGCUGGCGCCCAUCAAGUGGCAGCUGGCCAGCCUGUUGCGUCAACUGCAGACCAACCCGCGGACUCUAAAACAGAUUUGUCGUGUGACCAUCUACGGUGCGCUGAGACGUCGGCCCGGUCCCAACGUCAGUAAACUGCCGCUGCCAGCACAGCUCAAGGAGUACUUGCUGAACUUUGAGCCGUAGUGGCCGACGGUGCCGCAGCGGACGGCUGCUCGCCGGGCGAGCCGCGCCGGGCCGGUGGUGGGCGACCCCCUCCUCCCCGCCCGCCUCCCGGCCGGCCGGAGACCCGGUGACGCGUCUCCGCCCGCGCUCCGAAGGCCUUGACGUGAUCUGUGGCGGCGCAGGACGCCAGUGUGAUCUCCGCGGCGGGACGGUGCGGCCGACCGACCGGCCGACUCCGACCCGACCCGACCCCGUGCUGCGUGCUGAGUGUCAGUUCUUAUCUGAGGUACGUGAGUAGCGUGAAAGUUUGGUGCAAUAGGUGGCCGACAGCUGAGUGAUAUUGAAUGUGAUGCGAGCGAGAGGACUGGGCGCGUGGUAAGUGCUCGAUAUUUGUGUGAUAUUGUCUGAGGACGACCCGCGGCUAUCCCCUCCUGUGUGAUCUAACGCGGGCGGUCCUCUGUGAUGAGUCGGCGGACCUCAGUCUUCGCGUGUCGCUCCCCGACCCGCCACAGUCGGCGCCGCCACAGAACGCACAGAGACGGGGUCUGCGGUUUUGACCUAAUCAGUAUUUAAGACGUUUUGUUAUUUGUGUUUGGCCGCCAGCGGCCGUUCUGAGCUUACACGCAGUGGGGCCUUCGUCCCUCAGUUUAGGGCUGGGCAGAACGUACCGGGGGAGGGGAACGAAGUGGCUGCCAGGUUUGAAGGCCCGCCACACGGUAAGAGCUAUGCGCUUUUUGGUUCUUCGCCUUUUCCCGUCUUUAUUCAUUCACGUAGCUCCUCUUCCAGCUAUCCACCGAUCUUCCGAUUUUAUAUCAUGGAUAAGGCAGCCAUGUGUCUCAAGUAACAUAGACUGUUCAUUAUCGCCUCAGACUGACUGCAUGCUAAGGCUGCUUUCUUUACCGAGUGCGGCUUCCAUUAUUCUAGGGCUAUACUCCAGGCAUAUCUUGAGAAAAAAAGCAGAAAAGUGAGUAUCGCCUGCCGUGUCGCCCGUUCAGUUGCCGUCGCCGCCGCGCUGGAUAACGGAUGUGUUAUGUGCCGACUCGGGGACCGCUGCGUCUCGCUGAUGGUGAAAGUGCGUUCCGUGACGGGUGAAUUGGUGCUCGUGCUAACCAGUUCCUCCCAACCGAUUGUGCAUGGUCCUUCUUGUUGGUAAUCUGCGUUCUUUAUUUUGUCUUUACAAUGAGUCUCGUCUGCCUCAGUGUCCUCGAUAGAUUACUACCGUUGUUCUCGUCUUUGCCUGUUCCUUUACCGAGUCUGACUUUGUUUGGUAUCUAUCUGGGGAUGUAUUGCGAUGCUUGGGACAUGAUAUGACCGAAUAUCAGGUGACCUUCAUGCAGCCGCCACCCGUCAGGGCCCAUCGCGCCACUGCGCUGGGGCGCGGUCGGCUGGCCCGGUUCUUUCAGUUGUGAUCGGGGACGGGACUCGGCCCGACCUCCCCAGCCCGUGAUCGGUAUGUGCGCGUGUGUGUGCGCGGAGGGGCGGUCUGUGCUCGGUUUGGGUGGCCCUCGGCCGCCGGCGCCGUGGAUAGGAGGGUCGAGCGUCGGCUGACCGUGGACCGUCCAUGAGCCGGGAGUCCCCGCGUCAGUGGUCCUCAGCGUGAUGUCAUGACUCGUAUGACUCUGAUGUGCGUCUCGAGUCAGCCGGUGUAGGCCCGCUGGGCCCGUGUGAUUGAUUCAGUCCUAUUGAUUGGUGCUCGCGCGUGUGUGGCGAGCUGCUACGGCGCGUGCCGCGGCUCUCGCCGUCCCGCCCACCGUUGUUAGGUAAUCUCCCGGCCGGCAGCGCCGCCUCAGUCAGAGGAGCCGCCGCGCCGCGUUAUACUGUGUUCGCCUGAGGGUCGCGCGGGGAUGGCACAGGGCAGGGGUGGGUAGGAGGGGAGGCCUCCCUCGACAUGCCAGUGUUCACUGUACAGAUAUGAGUGGUCUACUUGAACGAACUUAUAUUAUGAUUUGUUAAAUAUAUCGAAUGCGACCGUG